Molecule: ribosomal RNA, 318 nt
Filed under: Klebsiella oxytoca
Lineage: Bacteria; Pseudomonadati; Pseudomonadota; Gammaproteobacteria; Enterobacterales; Enterobacteriaceae
Description: partial 23S ribosomal RNA
Rfam family: Bacterial large subunit ribosomal RNA
Source: RNAcentral
UAGCGCCUCGUGAACUCAUCUUCGGGGGUAGAGCACUGUUUCGGCUAGGGGGUCAUCCCGACUUACCAACCCGAUGCAAACUACGAAUACCGAAGAAUGUUAUCACGGGAGACACACGGCGGGUGCUAACGUCCGUCGUGAAGAGGGAAACAACCCAGACCGCCAGCUAAGGUCCCAAAGUCAUGGUUAAGUGGGAAACGAUGUGGGAAGGCCCAGACAGCCAGGAUGUUGGCUUAGAAGCAGCCAUCAUUUAAAGAAAGCGUAAUAGCUCACUGGUCGAGUCGGCCUGCGCGGAAGAUGUAACGGGGCUAAACCAUG